Molecule: long non-coding RNA, 1438 nt
Organism: Gadus macrocephalus (Pacific cod)
Lineage: Eukaryota; Metazoa; Chordata; Actinopteri; Gadiformes; Gadidae
Exons: 8
Source: RefSeq, a predicted model, not a curated record
GUCACCAAAACAAUCUGCCAACAACAUCCAGGGCAUCUGGUGGGCAAGCCAAUGGAGCAGGAGCAGGACCCAAAAAGACCACAUCACCAAACACAUCAUGUGAAUUCUACAAUACAUAUACAAAUGUAUAUGCACCAGUUGUCAUUGACAGCAGUUCCUCAGAUGUUGAGGAAGUCGACUACUCUCAGGUGGAAGACAGAGAGCAAGUUUUUGGACUGACUGCUGCUGACGUUUUGUCAAAUCUGUCAGAAGCUAUUGACACGAGCAACUGCAGCAGGUUCAACAUCAACCGUGCCAAUGUCUGGGAUGGUGCUCUGAGGGGAUUUAAGCGGUCCUCGUUUGACCCCACCGGUAGCCUUUUGGUGAAAUUCACAGACGACAUCGGGCAGACUGAGGACGCUGUUGACACAGGAGGGCCUACGCGGGAAUUCCUCACACUGUUGAUGGAUGCCAUUAAAAACAGGCUUUUUUUUUAAGGCAGGGAAGAUGGCAAAUACCUGUCAUUUGACAGCAAAGCUGCAGAUGGUGAUGAGUACUUCCAUGUUGGAAGAAUGGUGGCCAUGUCCAUUGUUCAUGGUGGUCCAGGGCCUCGUUGCUUUUCCGAGAACUUCUACCACUACCUAGUGGGUAAGGUGAAGACUAUUGAGGCCCCAAUUGCAGACAUACCUGAUCCUGAACUCAGGAAUGUUCUACUUCAGAUUAAGAAUACAACAACUUUGGAAGAACUCUUGGAACUUGCAGAUAAGCACGCUAGCAUGCUUCAGACAGCAGGAUGCUAUUGAUGCCUGAGGACACUGGAGGAUAAGGAACAAGUUGUGAAUGAUUACAUCCAGUGGUAUUUCACCUACCGCAACCAUGUUUCCUUCCAGAGGUUCAAGGACGGCCUGGCUACCCUGAACCUUUUCAAUGCUCUGGAACAACAUCCCUCCCUGUUCCUGCCCUACUUGGUUUACAGCGCGGAAGACCUGAAAGCAGAGACUCUAGAGGCGCUGUUCCGUCCACAAAUGAGCCCAACUGGUAGCUCAAACCGCCAGGAGGAGGAGAGAGUGCUUGGCUACUGGCUGGACUACUUAAUCGCUGUAAAAGAGGAAGCAUCUGGGCUGUCCCUGCAGGACGUUCUGAUGUUUGCAACAGGCCUAAAAGAAAUCCCAGCAGCAAAAUUAACACCACAGCCUCAACUCACAUUCCAGAAACACUCAAGGUUUGCUGAGGCUAAUGUCUGCUCAAACACAUUGAAACUCCCGAUAUUACCCUCAUAUGAGAUGUUUGAGGAAGCCAUGAGUUAUGGAAUUAGGAACUCCCCUGGAUUUGGUCUCUUUUGAGGUGUUAAGACCAUUUAUCAGACAUGCAACUGUUUUAACCUGCAUUUCAAAGUUCAUUUUGCAGUGGCUGUUAGUUUGUCACGGUCUGUACAUAUAAAGCUAUAACAUUGUUUAAA